RNAcentral lists this unclassified non-coding RNA (230 nucleotides) under plant metagenome. RNAcentral's name for it is "partial contains small subunit ribosomal RNA, internal transcribed spacer 1, and 5.8S ribosomal RNA". The record is from RNAcentral.
UCUCCGUAGGUGAACCUGCGGAGGGAUCAUUACAUAGUUCAUGCCCUCCGGGUAGAGCUCCCACCCGUUGCUAUAACUACCCUCGUUCCUGUUGCGGGCCGUUGGGCCCUGCCCGGCCGCCGGCCCCGGCUCGCUCUUGGCCGCCAGAGACCUCACAACCUCUGGAUGUUAGUGUCCUCCGAGUAACUAUACAAUCGUUAAAACUUUCAACAACGGAUCUCUUGGUUCUG